RNAcentral lists this ribosomal RNA (182 nucleotides) under Candidatus Bathyarchaeota archaeon. Its description in RNAcentral is "partial 16S ribosomal RNA". The record is from RNAcentral. Lineage: Archaea; Thermoproteati; Candidatus Bathyarchaeota.
CUUCGCCACUGGUGGUCCGCUCAGGAUUAUAGGAUUUCACCCCUACCCCGAGAAUACCGUCGGCCUCUCCCGCCCCCUAGCCUGAUAGUCUCUUCUGCAGCCCAACGAUUAGGUCGCUGGAUUUAACAGAAGACUUGUCAGGCCGGCUACGAACGCUUUAGGCCCAAUAAUUGUCCCUACCA